RNAcentral lists this non-coding RNA (21 nucleotides) under Arabidopsis thaliana (thale cress). Lineage: Eukaryota; Viridiplantae; Streptophyta; Magnoliopsida; Brassicales; Brassicaceae. The record is from RNAcentral.
UGGAACUCACAUCUCAGCCGC